Molecule: ribosomal RNA, 289 nt
Filed under: uncultured bacterium
Lineage: Bacteria
Description: partial 16S ribosomal RNA
Rfam family: Bacterial small subunit ribosomal RNA
Source: RNAcentral
UUACCCUACGGGACGCAGCAGUGGGGAAUAUUGGGCAAUGGGCGCAAGCCUGACCCAGCAACGCCGCGUGAAGGAAGAAGGCUUUCGGGUUGUAAACUUCUUUUAUCAGGGACGAAGCAAGUGACGGUACCUGAUGAAUAAGCCACGGCUAACUACGUGCCAGCAGCCGCGGUAAUACGUAGGUGGCAAGCGUUAUCCGGAUUUACUGGGUGUAAAGGGCGUGCAGGCGGGGGUGCAAGUCAGAUGUGAAAACUAUGGGCUCAACCCAUAGCCUGCAUUUGCAACUUGA